This 520-nucleotide ribosomal RNA is filed under the name uncultured bacterium. RNAcentral's name for it is "bacterial SSU rRNA". It matches the Rfam family "Bacterial small subunit ribosomal RNA", at positions 988 to 1509 of the family's 1533-position model. The record is from RNAcentral.
CCAGAGAAUUUAGCAGAGAUGCUUUAGUGCCUUCGGGAACUCUGAGACAGGUGCUGCAUGGCUGUCGUCAGCUCGUGUUGUGAAAUGUUGGUUAAGUCCCGCAACGAGCGCAACCCCUAUCCUUUGUUGCCAGCGAUUCGGUCGGGAACUCAAAGGAGACUGCCGGUGAUAAACCGGAGGAAGGUGGGGAUGACGUCAAGUCAUCAUGGCCCUUACGAGUAGGGCUACACACGUGCUACAAUGGCGCAUACAAAGAGAAGCGACCUCGCGAGAGCAAGCGGACCUCAUAAAGUGCGUCGUAGUCCGGAUUGGAGUCUGCAACUCGACUCCAUGAAGUCGGAAUCGCUAGUAAUCGUAGAUCAGAAUGCUACGGUGAAUACGUUCCCGGGCCUUGUACACACCGCCCGUCACACCAUGGGAGUGGGUUGCAAAAGAAGUAGAUAGCUUAACCUUCGGGAGGGCGUUUACCACUUUGUGAUUCAUGACUGGGGUGAAGUCGUAACAAGGUAGGCGUAGCGAG